Molecule: ribosomal RNA, 253 nt
Filed under: uncultured bacterium
Lineage: Bacteria
Description: partial 16S ribosomal RNA
Rfam family: Bacterial small subunit ribosomal RNA
Source: RNAcentral
UACGGGGGGGGCAAGCGUUGUUCGGAAUUACUGGGCGUAAAGGGCUCGUAGGCGGCCAACUAAGUCAGACGUGAAAUCCCUCGGCUUAACCGGGGAACUGCGUCUGAUACUGGAUGGCUUGAGUUUGGGAGAGGGAUGCGGAAUUCCAGGUGUAGCGGUGAAAUGCGUAGAUAUCUGGAGGAACACCGGUGGCGAAGGCGGUUCUCUGGGCCUGACCUGACGCUGAGGAGCGAAAGCGUGGGGAGCGAACAGG